GACGAACGCUGGCGGCGUGCUUAACACAUGCCAGUCGAACGGAAAGGCCUUUUCGGAGGUACUCGAGUGGCGAACGGGUGAGUAACACGUGGGUGAUCUGCCCUGCACUCUGGGAUAAGCCUGGGAAACUGGGUCUAAUACCGGAUAGGACCGCACUUUAGUGUGUGUGGUGGAAAGUUGUUUCGGUGUAGGAUGAGCCCGCGGCCUAUCAGCUUGUUGGUGGGGUAAUGGCCUACCAAGGCGGCGACGGGUAGCCGGACUGGGAGGUUGGUCGGCCACAUUGGGACUGAGAUACGGCCCAGACGCCUACGGGAGGCAGCAGUGGGGAAUAUUGCACAAUGGGCGCAAGCCUGAUGCAGCGACGCCGCGUGGGGGAUGACGGCCUUCGGGUCGUAAACUCCGUUCGCCAGGGACGAAGCGUUUUGUGACGGUACCUGGAGAAGAAGCACCGGCUAACUACGUG
RNAcentral lists this ribosomal RNA (463 nucleotides) under uncultured bacterium. RNAcentral's name for it is "partial 16S ribosomal RNA". It matches the Rfam family "Bacterial small subunit ribosomal RNA", at positions 28 to 507 of the family's 1533-position model. The record is from RNAcentral.